This is a non-coding RNA of Numida meleagris (helmeted guineafowl), 1215 nucleotides long. Lineage: Eukaryota; Metazoa; Chordata; Aves; Galliformes; Numididae. The record is from the annotation of a RefSeq genome assembly.
AUGUGUCUUCUUGAAAGAGGCACCACGAAGUUUCAUUUCUAAUUAUGGCUACUGCAAGAUUUGCUGGGUUAGAAAUCUUCAGAACAAAACGUAGACACUAGCCAUGUUUAGACAUUAGUUGUAAGAGAGCACAUUAGACGGGUGAGCAAGCUGGGGCACCUGCAUGAGGUCCAUCAUGGGAUGAGGUCAGACCUCCAACCCACUCUGGAGGAUGGCACAUGUUCUCUGCCCACCAAGGUGGCCUCUAGACAGGCAGCUUUGCACCUGGUGCCCAGAUGGAGCUGCUCUUGCACUCAGUCAUUUCUCAGCAGUUCUUACACAAGUUGCAAGUCCUUCGAUUUAGAAGUGGUUCAUGCAUUUCUAUGAAAAAUGUGUAGGAUGAGAACCUUCCAACCAAUCUCAGCAUUUGAUAGCCUUACUCCUUUCCCAGGCUGCUGAAGCUUCUCUGAAGCACAGCCCUGUGUUGUUAUGCACAGAAAAACCAUCUCCGGUGACUUCUCCUCCCACUCAGUGCUGUUUCCAUCUAAGCCCCCAUUCAUUCUCCUCCAAGUCUCAACAGCAACUGAGUGGGAGCCACAAACAUGCUGCCACUGGCAGCUCUCAUGGCCACAACUGCUUGGUUUUAUGGAUUUGCUCAAGAAAUUCCAAUACAGAGACCUGUAUCCAUCGCCAGGUUCCAGAAAAGUGCACGUAUGUUCUGUGAAAUGAAUAAAUUACCAGGAAGUUUUGAUAGCACCGUCAUACACUGGUAUCAACUGAAGGAGAAUAAAGCUCCGGAGAGGAUACUCUUCUACGUAGGAGGGAAAACUACAGUCGAAAGUGGUUUUCAAGAGAACAAGUACAUGGUUGGUAAAGUUUCUAGUCGGAAUCUGUGUAUGCUUACAAUAAAUGAUGUAAUUCCAGACGACGCUGCUACGUACUACUGUGCCUACUGGGACCCGCACCGUGAUAGGGGCUCAGAGAGCAUCACGCCACAAAUCUCCUUCAACCACUCCUUCAGUCUGAACCACAGAUGGAUUUACAUGGGAAAUUCCCAUACAGAGCCCCGUAUCCAUCACCAAGUCACAAGGAAGUAUACGUCUGCAAUGUCAUUUUGGAGACUUCUCUGGAAAUUUUGGUAACACUGUCAUACAUUGGUAUCAGCUGAAAGAGAAUAAAACUCUGGUGAGGAUGACCUACUUUACAUCAGGGGCAACAGUAGUAGAUGAGAGCUCC